UGGAGGAUUAGUUGUUUGGAGUGUGGUUACGGAGUUUCUCAACCCACACUUUUUCAACGUUGGUAACCAUUAAGAAAAGACAUAGAAUACUCAAUUCUGUUCACUCAAAUUUGGUAGAUUCCGGGAGUGAGUUUCUUACCCCAACAUUAGUGUUACAAUGCACACCAGUUUAACUGUAGUUAGCUACUUUCAUUCAGGGCUCUUGUUAGCAUCUUAUAGUAAAGGCGUGGAUGAGGAGGGGGGAAAAUAAAGCUUUGACAGAUGGUACUCAGCGUUUGACUCCUGCUGAGCUCAGCAGGACCUGUGGUUUCCAAGGUUAGGGCUGUCAAAAUGGCUCUGUCUAUCAAGUGAAUAACAAAGUGUAGACUGCCUGUCUGUUUCCUAUACAAAACUUAGAUUUCAUUUGCCAUUAUUGUCGGCCUUUCUGCUGAUUUAAUAACUUCUAAGGAGAAGAACUAGGGGUUCUGAUGCAGCCUCACUAUUUAAGAAACUACUUGGAAAGGGAAUUCUCAAGGGCUGAAAGAGGUAGGCCGCGAUCUGAUCUCUUUCUCUUUGGUUUCUCUCUAAGGCUUCAAGACUUAAAAAGGAUUCAAAAGACACCAAAGGUUCACUUUUGGCUAAAAGCUAAAUGUGAACCUUUCAAAAUGAACUCAUUGCUGUCUUCCUCUCAAAAGGCCUUCAGAUGGUCAGAUAAAGUACCUGAUGCUGAAAAACAGGAAAUUGAAUCAUGUCUCCAAAAUGUGCUUUUUGUCAUGCACUGUUACAGCUAUAUUUCUUGACUGGCAGCCUCUAAACAGCCUACUCAUAGAGGCAACUAAAACGAGGAUUCUGUCUCAAAGCUCUGUUCUAUCCAUGCCUUCCCAUGGAGCAAAGGAACAAACAAGAUAUCAACAAUUGGAGAAAUGGCAACUACAAUUCCAUCAUUCACAACUUCAGUUUUCCCUCAAGAGAACAAGUGACACUGUUAAUCAGGCCCUGCAAGCACAAAUAAACAAAAAUAAUAAUUUGAGAAAAGAAAAUGAACGAUGGCAUAAGAAGUCUAGUGUUUCUUCCAUAACCAAGGUAUAGUAGUCUCAUCCUUUGGAGCUUUAGAUGAACAGACUGAGGAUCACAGAGUUUCUAACACAAGCCCCU
This 1134-nucleotide long non-coding RNA is filed under the name Pongo abelii (Sumatran orangutan). Its description in RNAcentral is "lncRNA (ENSPPYG00000033001.1)". Lineage: Eukaryota; Metazoa; Chordata; Mammalia; Primates; Hominidae. The record is from RNAcentral.